RNAcentral lists this long non-coding RNA (548 nucleotides) under Mus caroli (Ryukyu mouse). RNAcentral's name for it is "lncRNA (MGP_CAROLIEiJ_G0005710.1)". The record is from RNAcentral. Lineage: Eukaryota; Metazoa; Chordata; Mammalia; Rodentia; Muridae.
GGCAAAGAACGAGGUGCCACCCUGAGCUCUGAGCAUUUCAUUGAACCUUCAUAGCAACGGUCCUAGGAGGUGGCAGCUAUUAUUAUCUGCAUUUUACAGAGCUCAAUUAAAGGCAACUCAGCCCAAGAACUGCUCCAACCCCGAUGUACUGAAGGGCCCGUCAUGGUGUGGAACAAUGAACGAAAUGCAUAUUUGUUACUGGAAGCACAUUCUGACCUCCUCUCAGCUCCUGAGACCUUGUGUUUUCAGUCAGAAGAAUUCAGCUACGUACCAUGUGGACCUUCUUUUUUAACAUAGUAAAGUGUGAAGGGGGGAGAAGAGACGUCUCUGAAUAAAGAAGCAAACAUCAAGGAGGCAAGCUGAACAAUCUUCUAAAGAGGUAGAGACUGUUAGCCCCGGGGCUGAAUCGCUCUGAGCUGGAUAGGAAGUAGUGUGCCUACUCACUGGAACUCAGCUUCAUUCUGAAGGAAAGUGCAAUCUCUCCCCUACACAGGUAUCCAGUAGUCCUGGCGUGGCCCUGAUUGGCAGGAGAGGUGUAUGUGGGUGGG